RNAcentral lists this small nuclear RNA (127 nucleotides) under Helianthus annuus (common sunflower). Its description in RNAcentral is "U11 spliceosomal RNA". It matches the Rfam family "U11 spliceosomal RNA". Lineage: Eukaryota; Viridiplantae; Streptophyta; Magnoliopsida; Asterales; Asteraceae. The record is from RNAcentral.
AAAAGGGGCGGUUGGCUAAAUAUGACACGCUCACCAUUGAAUGGUGAGUGCUGUAUGGCUAUCAAGACAUAUGGCCUACAUAAUUUCUGGGUACUUAUAGGUUUGGCUCCCUUUGGCCGACCCUCCA